AUUGAACGCUGGCGGCAUGCCUUACACAUGCAAGUCGAACGGCAGCACGGGGGCAACCCUGGUGGCGAGUGGCGAACGGGUGAGUAAUACAUCGGAACGUGCCCAGUCGUGGGGGAUAACGUAGCGAAAGUUACGCUAAUACCGCAUACGAUCUCUGGAUGAAAGCGGGGGACCGCAAGGCCUCGCGCGAUUGGAGCGGCCGAUGGCAGAUUAGGUAGUUGGUGGGGUAAAAGUUUACCAAGCCUCCGAUCGGUAGCUGGUCUGAGAGGACGAUCAGCCAAACUGGGACUGAGACACGGCCCAGACUCCUACGGGAGGCAGCAGUGGGGAAUUUUGGACAAUGGGCGCAAGCCUGAUCCAGCAAUGCCGCGUGCAGGACGAAGGCCUUCGGGUUGUAAACUGCUUUUGUACGGAGCGAAACGGCUUCCACUAAUACUGGGGGCUAAUGACGGUACCGUAAGAAUAAGCACCGGCUAACUACGUGCCAGCCGCCGCGGUAA
Molecule: ribosomal RNA, 500 nt
Filed under: uncultured bacterium
Lineage: Bacteria
Description: partial 16S ribosomal RNA
Rfam family: Bacterial small subunit ribosomal RNA
Source: RNAcentral